This 165-nucleotide small nuclear RNA is filed under the name Oryza sativa Indica Group (long-grained rice). RNAcentral describes it as "U4 snRNA". The stretch from base 1 to 139 matches the Rfam family "U4 spliceosomal RNA". Rfam says of the family: U4 small nuclear RNA (U4 snRNA) is a component of the major U2-dependent spliceosome. The structure of U4 snRNA from yeast and human has been reported. U4 snRNA presents a k-turn RNA motif in the 5p-SL related to recognition of Snu13 protein. Lineage: Eukaryota; Viridiplantae; Streptophyta; Magnoliopsida; Poales; Poaceae. The record is from RNAcentral.
AUCUUUGCGCUUGGGGCAAUGACGCAGCUAGUGAGGUAAUACCCGAGGCGCGUCAAUUGCUGGUUGAAAACUAUUUCCAAACCCCCUCUUUGGCCCGGCAUUCAGGGCCACUGAGAAUUUCUGGAAGGGCUCCUUCUCUUCGGGGAGGGUAAAGCCCUACAAAUC